Molecule: transfer RNA, 75 nt
Filed under: Cordylochernes scorpioides
Lineage: Eukaryota; Metazoa; Arthropoda; Arachnida; Pseudoscorpiones; Chernetidae
Description: tRNA-Thr
Rfam family: tRNA
About the family: Transfer RNA (tRNA) molecules are approximately 80 nucleotides in length. Their secondary structure includes four short double-helical elements and three loops (D, anti-codon, and T loops).
Source: RNAcentral
UCCAGGGUAGCCUAGUGGACAUGGCAUCUGCCCGGUAAGCAGAACAUUGUGGGUUUGAUUCCCAUCCCCCUGGAC